Molecule: long non-coding RNA, 291 nt
Organism: Oncorhynchus keta (chum salmon)
Lineage: Eukaryota; Metazoa; Chordata; Actinopteri; Salmoniformes; Salmonidae
Exons: 4
Source: RefSeq, a predicted model, not a curated record
ACUGACUAGGUUGUACUUUACAACUGACUAGGUUAUACUUUACAACUGACUAGGUUAUACUUUACAACUGACGAGGUUGUACUUUACAACUGACUAGGUUAUACUUUACAACUGACUAGGUUGUACUUUCCCUUUACAACUGACUAGGUUGUACUUUACAACUGACUUGGUUAUACUUUACAACUGACUAGGUUGUACUUUACAACUGACUUGGUUAUACUUUACAACUGACUAGGUUGUACUUUACAACUGACUAGGUUGUACUUUCCCUUUACAACUGACUAGGUUGUA